Dreissena polymorpha is the source of this 2330-nucleotide long non-coding RNA. RefSeq lists it as uncharacterized. Lineage: Eukaryota; Metazoa; Mollusca; Bivalvia; Myida; Dreissenidae. The record is from RefSeq and is a predicted model, not a curated record. The transcript has 5 exons.
ACUGUGCAGAUGUAUUUUUCAAAGUGAAUGGCCAUGAGUCACUAAAUGCAUAUUACUGGGGAUUUCAAGUCGGUUAUUGUAUAUUUUGUUAUGUGUUUUACUGUCAACUGUCCGACUUUUAAAGACGUCCGACUUUUCACGGAUUGACCUAAACAGAUUUUUUUCAAAAUCGCCGGAUUUCCGUCUGUAAUUUCGGCGAUCGACUGAACGCACGUUCGCAUCAUUGCUCCCCAUGAACACGAGGGGCAAUAUGGGAACAGAAAGCACUACCACAGUGUUCAUGUACAGGCAACGUGCGAUCAUCGUGGUGUAUUCACCAGCAUAAAUGCCACAUGGCCUCGAAGUACUCAAGAUGCGCAUGUAUUGAGAACCUCAGCACUCUCUGAUUAUUUGGAGGCCCAUCAUCAUGGUUUGGAAGAUGGAAUUGUGUUGGGGGACAGUGCCUACCCAUGCAGGAAGUUUCUGAUGACGCCUUACCUGCAUCCUGGAUCCCCACAGCAACAGAUGUACAAUGACGCCCAUGCGAAGACGAGAAAUGUAAUUUAUUUUAUGCUUUCCGGUGGUUUAUAGAGAAAUAUCAGUGAAAUAAAAUUGGCAUUCCCCUGUUUUAUACAGUGAAAAAUAACAGUGACAAAUAUCGAUAUUUUUCACUGUUUUACUGUGAAAUGACGUCAUUUUAGACGAAAUGACGUCAUAAAUCCAGCAAAAUUAUCCAGUUAAACUCAUUAACAAUGUAAAUAAACGGUUUAAAAAGCAUAAAAUAAUAAGAAAAUUUGUUGGAUUCGAUGGAAUAUCGAUUUUAUUUCACUCGUGAUGAUAGAAAAUAUAUAUUUUCACUCGUGGCGAAAAUAUUGUUUUCUAUGAUCACUCGUGAAAUAAAUUCGAUAUUCCACCGAAUCCAACAAAUAUCCUCUAUUAAAAGAGCACUCGGUGUACUAAAGCGGAGGUGCCAUGUUCUUCAUGGAGAGGUAUUUAUUAAGAAGUGAUGUGUCAAUAAACACCAUAACAUUUAUGUUUAUCAUGAAAUAUAUUAAAUAUGCACUAUAUUAACUUAUUUUAUUUUAUGCUUUCCGGUGGUUUAUAGAGAAAUAUCAGUGAAAUAAAAUUGGUAUUCCACUGUUUUAAAAAAUGAAAAAUAACAGUGACAAAUAUCGAUAUUUUUCGCUGUUUAACUGUGAAAUUACGUCAUUUUUUCGACGAAAUGACGUCAUUAAUCCAGCAAAAUUAUCCAGUUAAACUCAUUUACAAUGUAAAUAAACGGUAAAAAAAGCAUAAAAUAAAAAGAAAUUUUGUUGGAUUCGAUGGAAUAUCGAUUUUAUUUCACGCGUGAUUAUAGAAAAUAUAUAUUUUCACUCGUGGCUUCGCCACUCGUGAAAAUAUUGUUUUCUAUGAUCACUCGUGAAUUAAAUUCGAUAUUCCACCGAAUCCAACAAAUAUCCUCUAUAUAUUUUCAAUAUGUUAAAUUAUGUUUUCUAAACAUUAGGGUGCGAAUAAUCCAGCAAAAGUAUCAAAAAUAAUUAUCGCAUGUGUAGUGUUGCACAAUCUAGCCAAGGCAUGGGGUGAAAGGGAGGCAUUUCCAGAGGAGGAAGACGCUCAACCUCCACCAAGUGAACAGCUUGAUGGUAACCCUGACGGACAGGCUAUCAGGGAUGCAAUAACUGCAAACUACUUCAGAUGAAGACGGAUGAACACAUCACAGUCCUUUACAACUUGUAAUUGACACGUGUUAUCAGGACCUUUCCCUCCUCAAAGAACUCUCUCUGCGUAUUCAUAAGAAGCAUAUUCUCGUUUUGAACUUCGAUGGCACCAGCAUAAAAUGCCAUCUGUAGUUCCUUUAGUGUCUGCUCUUUCCUGAUUUAUUGAAAGGUGCUUUAUAUCAUUUUUUAGCCAUAAUUAUUAAUAAAUAAUAAGUAAUUAUUACUUAAUUACAAAAUCUUAUUUAUUACGUCAUACAUCUGCGGUGUGUAUGUUGCUUUUUAAAUCUAAUUCAGGUCUAAGAGUUUUCCCAUUUAAAUUUGAUUUCAUUAAUGAUAUUGUUAUCGUUUAACCUACGAAAAAAUGAACUCUUCCAAAAGACUACACACUCUAGAAAAUACUAUGCAUAGAAGCGUGUAAUGCUUCAUCAGUGACAGAGUGAUUUGUAAGCGACCAUGUCGCACAAUGAAUGUGUGUUGUUUCUUGCAAAGGAAAUUAAGAUAAAUUGGAUUUAAUUACCAUCGAGUUCGAGCAGAUCCUGUUGCGCUGCGAACUGCACCUAACAGGAACAAAACUAUGUAUGGAUUAAAUGGAUUUAUGUGAAUAUAAUAUUGAAUAAAAGGUAAGAAUAGUUA